AUGAAACACGCAGAUGGGAAGCGUGGGACUGCGUGUCAGUGGAGCUCUGCCAUCAACGUGGAACAAAUGGAGCAAAUCUCCUCUUUGGUCCCCUUCCAGGCACUUGGGAUUUGUUUCCCCCUCUGCAAGCCAGGGCUCCUGGCAGUGCUGUUUUGUACCUGGCCUGUGCUGACUGCAGGUGAUGCUGCUUCUCGCUGUGAGCAUCGCUGUGGGGCUGGAGCUGCUCACAGGUCACAUUGUGACACGGCCACUGAUGGAGCCGCUGCUGUGCCAGCACUGUUGACCGUGGCCAAACCCAUUGUCACCUCUGUUUUUCCUGCCCUUCUUUUCACACCAAGCUGUGUCUUCUGCAACUGUCAGGAGUGGUGGCUCUUCUUGGAAGCGCUUGAAAAAUACACCGGUCCCAGUUUGGAAGAUGGGUUGCAGACAUCCAGCCUGGAAUUGCCACUUGUAAGUACCUUGAGAGGCUGCAGCUCUGUAUCCCAGCACAGAUAA
RNAcentral lists this long non-coding RNA (495 nucleotides) under Cyanistes caeruleus (blue tit). Its description in RNAcentral is "lncRNA (ENSCCEG00000022999.1)". The record is from RNAcentral. Lineage: Eukaryota; Metazoa; Chordata; Aves; Passeriformes; Paridae.